UGGGGGAUAUUGCACAAUGGGGGGAACCCGUGAUGCAGCGACGCCGCGUGGGUGAAGGAGUAUUUCGGUAUGUAAAGCCCUAUCGGCAGGGAAGAAGAAAGACGGUACCUGACUAAGAAGCCCCCGGCUAACUACGUGCC
RNAcentral lists this ribosomal RNA (140 nucleotides) under uncultured bacterium. Its description in RNAcentral is "partial 16S ribosomal RNA". It matches the Rfam family "Bacterial small subunit ribosomal RNA", at positions 355 to 509 of the family's 1533-position model. The record is from RNAcentral.